UAGGGAAUCUUCCGCAAUGGACGAAAGUCUGACGGAGCAACGCCGCGGGAGUGAAGAAGGAUUUCGGUUCGUAAAACUCUGUUGUUAGGGAAGAAAAAAUGUAUAGUAACUAUAUACAAAAGAGACGGUACCUAACCAGAAAGCCACGGCUAACUACGUGCCAGCAGCCGCGGUAAUACGUAGGUGGCAAGCGUUGUCCGGAAUUAUUGGGCGUAAAGCGCGCGCAGGUGGUUUAGAAAGUCUGAUGUGAAAGCCCACGGCUCAACCGUGGAGGGUCAUUGGAAACUAAUAAACUUGAGUGCAGGAGAGAAAAGUGGAAUUCCUAGUGUAGCGGUGAAAUGCGUGGAGAUUAGGAGGAGUACCGGUGGCGAAGGCGACUUUCUGGCCAUAAUCUGACGCUGAGGUACGAAAGCGUGGGUAGCAAACAGG
RNAcentral lists this ribosomal RNA (429 nucleotides) under Verrucomicrobiota bacterium. RNAcentral describes it as "Verrucomicrobia bacterium partial 16S ribosomal RNA". It matches the Rfam family "Bacterial small subunit ribosomal RNA", at positions 355 to 776 of the family's 1533-position model. The record is from RNAcentral. Lineage: Bacteria; Pseudomonadati; Verrucomicrobiota.